UUUGCUUGUAGCGCUCACUGACUUCUGGCUAGAAGGGAAUACAAGAAAUGCUGAAGAAAUCAUGCCAUUGCGUAGAUUUGCAGAAAGCACCUUAACACCUGCCCCAAGGAAUGUAAACAUGGCCUUCAGGCCCAGAACUUUGGAAGGAUUCUGAGGACUGUCCGUGAUGAAGAGGAAGAUGAUGAAAGAGGGGUCCCAAACUCCCCCAGACUCAAUUCCUGAAGAGAGGAGUGACCGUGUUAAGAUCUACCCAGAUCUCUGCACCCCUGCUCCUGGACUGUGUAGCCCUUCCUUCUCACUCUGCUCCUGCAGCAGUUCCAGGCUUUCCUGCUCUCCGGGUCCUAAUACAGUUACUGACCACUGCAUUUUUUCUGCAUGACUUGACAGUGUUGUCUUUGUUGGCUCUUCCCUGUGUGGAGGUAUCAGGGUCAUUUUUCCAUUUGCCAGAAGAGACAACAAGCCACAAAAGACAGAGUGACUGCCCAAGGUCAUCCCUCAGGCUGACACAG
Molecule: long non-coding RNA, 509 nt
Organism: Manacus vitellinus (golden-collared manakin)
Lineage: Eukaryota; Metazoa; Chordata; Aves; Passeriformes; Pipridae
Exons: 5
Source: RefSeq, a predicted model, not a curated record